Small nuclear RNA from Magnolia sinica, 194 nucleotides. RefSeq annotates it as U2 spliceosomal RNA. The record is from RefSeq and is a predicted model, not a curated record. NCBI's taxonomy places the organism in Eukaryota, Viridiplantae, Streptophyta, Magnoliopsida, Magnoliales, Magnoliaceae. The transcript has a single exon.
CUCGCAUCUGCUUCCUAUGUUGGGAAGAUGGGGAAACAAUUGAUCAUAUCAGUUUAAUAUCUGAUACGUGGUCCAUUGGAUCACACAGUAUUAAAUUAAUUUCUUUUGGUGAGGGUCCACCACAAUAGCUUGCUAUUGGGGCCCUUGUGCAUCGCCCUUGCAUUGCACUACUGCAUGGGCCUGGCGCACCCCUA